Molecule: long non-coding RNA, 398 nt
Organism: Capra hircus (goat)
Lineage: Eukaryota; Metazoa; Chordata; Mammalia; Artiodactyla; Bovidae
Exons: 2
Source: RefSeq, a predicted model, not a curated record
GACACGUGUUCCAGUUGAUUAGAAGGAGCAGACAGUCCAGAGCUCUUCUUCAUCUGGUUUCUCUUCGCCAGGACUGAGACUACCUCCUGGGCUCCCUGAAGUCAUGAAGACUGUUUUGCUAACUUUGGCUAUACUGCUCCUCUCAUCCCAGGUCAUUCCAGGCAGCACUGAAAAAUGCUGGAAUCUUCAUGGCCACUGCCGUGACACAUGUUCCAGGAAUGAAAAAGUCUAUGUUUUCUGCCUGAGUGGUAAACUGUGCUGUGUGAAGCCCAAGUUUCAGCCAAAUACAUCGCCACGGUUAAUUAAUGCUUGAAGCCGAGGGCACAAAAAUGGAGAUAACGUUGCCCUGAGCCUGUCCUCAGCUGAUUCCUGGGUUUCAUUAAAACACUUUUGGCUGA